RNAcentral lists this long non-coding RNA (440 nucleotides) under Salmo salar (Atlantic salmon). RNAcentral's name for it is "lncRNA (ENSSSAG00000082110.1)". Lineage: Eukaryota; Metazoa; Chordata; Actinopteri; Salmoniformes; Salmonidae. The record is from RNAcentral.
GUAGGUGGAGGUAUAGAGGUAUGGGACUGUAGGUGGAGGUAUAGAGGUACGGGACUGUAGGUGGAGGUAUGGGACUGUUGGUGGAGGUAUGGGACUGAAGGUGGAGGUAUGGGACUGUAGGUGGAGGUAUAGAGGUAUGGGACUGUAGGUGGAGGUAUGGGGCUGUAGGUGGAGGUAUAGAGGUAUGGGACUGUAGGUGGAGGUAUGGGACUGUAGGUGGAGGUAUAGAGGUAUGGGACUGUAGGUGGAGGUUUAGAGGUAUGGGACUGCAGGUGGAGGUAUAGAGGUAUGGGACUGUAGGUGGAGGUAUAGAGGUAUGGGACUGCAGGUGGAGGUAUAGAGGUAUGGGACUGUAGGUGGAGGUAUAGAGGUAUGGGACUGCAGGUGGAGGUAUAAAGGUAUGGGACUGUAGGUGGAGGUAUAGAGGUAUGGGACUGCAG